This 267-nucleotide ribosomal RNA is filed under the name uncultured bacterium. Its description in RNAcentral is "partial 16S ribosomal RNA". It matches the Rfam family "Bacterial small subunit ribosomal RNA", at positions 88 to 354 of the family's 1533-position model. The record is from RNAcentral.
CCGGCGACCGGCGCACGGGUGAGUAACACGUAUGGAACCUGCCCGCAGCAGGGGGAUAAGCGGAAGAAAUUCCGUCUAAUACCGCGUAACACCGCGGAGGGGCAUCCCUCGGCGGUUUAAAGAUUCAUCGGCUGCGGAUGGCCAUGCGGCGCAUUAGCUAGUCGGCGGGGUAACGGCCCACCGAGGCGACGAUGCGUAGGGGUUCUGAGAGGAAGGUCCCCCACACUGGUACUGAGACACGGACCAGACUCCUACGGAAGGCAGCAG